RNAcentral lists this ribosomal RNA (253 nucleotides) under uncultured bacterium. Its description in RNAcentral is "partial 16S ribosomal RNA". It matches the Rfam family "Bacterial small subunit ribosomal RNA", at positions 524 to 776 of the family's 1533-position model. The record is from RNAcentral.
UACGUAGGGGGCAAGCGUUGUCCGGAUUUACUGGGCGUAAAGAGCGCGUAGGCGGAAACGCCAGUCCGGCUUGAAAGCCCCCGGCUCAACCGGGGAGAGUGGCUGGAAACUGCGUUUCUUGAGGGCGAGAGAGGAGGGUGGAAUUCCUGGUGUAGCGGUGAAAUGCGUAGAGAUCAGGAGGAACACCCGUGGCGAAGGCGGCCCUCUGGCUCGACCCUGACGCUGAGGCGCGAAAGCGUGGGGAGCGAACGGG